RNAcentral lists this ribosomal RNA (822 nucleotides) under uncultured bacterium. RNAcentral describes it as "bacterial SSU rRNA". It matches the Rfam family "Bacterial small subunit ribosomal RNA", at positions 26 to 848 of the family's 1533-position model. The record is from RNAcentral.
GGANACGCUGCGGCAGGCUUAAUACAUGCAAGUCGAACGGUAACAGUCCUGGCAACAGGAGCUGACGAGCGGCGCACGGGUGCGUAACACGUAUGCAACUUACCCUUUACUGGGGCAUAACCCUGAGAAAUCGGGGCUAAUACCCCAUGGUAUUACAGAUGGGCAUCCAUUAUGUAAUUAAAGAUUUAUCGGUAAAGGAUGGGCAUGCGCCCCAUUAGUUAGUUGGUAGGGUAACGGCUUACCAAGGCUAUGAUGGGCAGGGGAUCUGAGAGGAUUAUCCCCCACACUGGUACUGAGACACGGACCAGACUCCUACGGGAGGCAGCAGUAAGGAAUAUUGGGCAAUGGAGGGAACUCUGACCCAGCCAUGCCGCGUGCAGGAAGACGGCCUUAUGGGUUGUAAACUGCUUUUCUGUGGGACUAAUUGCCUUCACGUGAUGAGGGUUUGCAGGUACCGCAGGAAUAAGCAUCGGCUAACUCCGUGCCAGCAGCCGCGGUAAUACGGAGGAUGCGAGCGUUAUCCGGAAUUAUUGGGUUUAAAGGGUGCGUAGGCUGACAAGUAAGUCAGUGGUGAAAUAUCCCGGCUCAACCGGGAGGCUGCCAUUGAUACUGUUUGUCUGGAGUGUAUUGGAAGUGAGCGGAACGAGGGGUGUAGCGGUGAAAUGCAUAGAUAUUCCUCAGAACGCCGAUAGCGUAGGCAGCUCACUACGAUACAACUGACGCUGANGCACGAAAGCGUGGGGAUCAAACAGGAUUAGAUACCCUGGUAGUCCACGCUGUAAACGAUGAUCACUAGCUGNUUGCGAUAUACAGUAAGUGGCU